Nematostella vectensis (starlet sea anemone) is the source of this 2726-nucleotide RNA transcript. It is a transcript of the gene named probable pathogenesis-related protein ARB_02861, with no coding region annotated. The record is from RefSeq and is a predicted model, not a curated record. The transcript has 9 exons. NCBI's taxonomy places the organism in Eukaryota, Metazoa, Cnidaria, Anthozoa, Actiniaria, Edwardsiidae.
UCAAACAGUUGCUCGAUUAGCCUCCAUAGCUAAGACAUCUUUUACAAAAUGGCGAGCUACAUUGUACCAGGAAAGCUAUUACCGGCUUUACUCUUCUUUGGGUUCAGCAUUCAUCUUACUUUAUGCAGCCCAUUGAAGAACUCAGAAAGCUUUUUUAACUUUCUAGAUCUAAUCGAUGUUGAUUCAGAGUGUAAAGACGAGCUCGCGAAGUGCGCGGCCAUACCCCUACAAGGAGCUGCGCUGACCGAGUACUGUGAAACGUGGAAAAAUAAAAGUCCCGUUAUCAGGAAGUGCCGUAAAACUUGUGGAUGGUGCAAACCACCAAGUCCAGAAAAACAAACUUGCCGAGAUGAGCGAAGCGACUGUGAGUGGAUCUUGAAUAAUGUGGACGACAUCGGGGAGUAUUGCGAGAGGUGGAAGGAUGACCCGGCUGUCAGGAAAUGCCGCAAGACCUGUGGCUUGUGUAACAAAAUCCCAUCACCGCCAAACCCAACAGAAGCACCAGAACCGGAAACUAUACCACCACAACCGGAAACUGUACCACCACAACCGGGAACUGAGGAGCCGGAACCAGUAACGCAGGCCCCAGAACCACCAAAACCGAAAACCAGUGCUCCAGAACCCCCUAAACCAGGACAAAUGUCAGGUUUCGAAAAGGAAUGUCUCGACGCGCACAACAUGUACCGCAUGCGCCAUGGCGUACCACCGCUGACCUGGAAUAGCAAGCUUACACGUGAUGCGCAGAGCUGGGCGGACACCCUCGUACGUGAGAACAAGUUCGAGCACCAUCCGGCUCUCAAAGAGCUAGGUCAGGGUGAGAACCUCGCAUACUUCGCGCCGGCAAACCGGAAGUGCGACGGACCGGAAGACACCAAUUACGUACAUUGUGGAGAGAUAGUGAAGGACUGGUAUGACGAGAUUCGGGAUUACGACUUCAAUAAGGGCGCCGGCAAGGACAUGUGGUCAGUGGUGUUACACUUUACCCAGGUCGUGUGGCGUGACACCACGGAGGUGGGAAUGGCCACCGCGGUUUCCCCGGUUACCAACAAGUUCUAUACCGUAGCUAGAUAUAAGCCCGCAGGAAACCAGGGCACCAAGGACGACUUCAAGGAAAACGUGCCGCCAGCUAUUGAAUCUUGAGUUGUCCAUGAUAGACGAGCAUUCCCUUCAUGUUCGGCGAGCAUUUUCUUAUGUGAAAUCGCAAACCAGCAGGGUAGAUAUCUAAUAACUGGCUCUUAGCGUAAUACCAAAUGGCUCUUAAUGUAAUAACUGGCUCUUGGCGUAAUACCAAGUGGCUUUUAAUGUAAUAACUGGCUCUUGGCGUAAUACCACGUGGCUCCUAAUGUAAUAACUGGCUCCUAGCGUAAUACCAAGUGGCUCCUAAUGUAAUAACUGGCUCUUAGCGUAAUACCAAGUGGCUCCUAAUGUAAUAACUGGCUCUUAGCGUAAUACCAAGUGGCUCCUAAUGUAAUAACUGGCUCUUAGCGUAAUACCAAAUGGCUCCUAAUGUAAUAACUGGCUCUUAGCGUAAUACCAAGUGGCUCCUAAUGUAAUAACUGGCUCUUAGCGUAAUACCAAGUGGCUCCUAAUGUAAUAACUGGCUCUUAGCGUAAUACCAAGUGGCUCCUAAUGUAAUAACUGGCUCUUAGCGUAAUACCAAAUGGCUCCUAAUGUAAUAACUGGCUCCUAGCGUAAUACCAAGUGGCUCCUAAUGUAAUAACUGGCUCUUAGCGUAAUACCAUGUGGCUCCUAAUGUAAUAACUGGCCCCAAGCUGCAAAACGUGAGGCUCCCAGUAAAAUAAUGGGUCUUGAUAUGACAACAAGUGGCUGGUAAUGUGAUGACUGGCUCCAAGACCAAAUCUAUGUAACGUAUUUACUCGAAUAGACGCCGUGGCGACUAUUUGAUUUCUCGUGAUCCAGUUGCGGCAUUUAUUCGAGGGCGGCGUAUAAAAGCCAUAUGAAGAAAACUUUGUCGUUUUGGGGGUCUGGUACCGAAAAGUUUAGUUUCUUUUUAGAUACUUUCUCCGCUUACUUAAGAUGGUCAGGGUCACUGUUUUUCUCUUCUGACUACAAGUCAUAAAGUUUACGAAGCACCUGCGAUACGGCAAACCUUAAAAGUGACAAGAAUCGUGCAGUUUUUUCAAAUAAGGAAUAUAUUAGUUUUCUUAUACGGAAGUGACCGCGUUUGUCAAAAACGACAAUUUUUGGCUAAUUUUUUUAUAUGACAUCGCUUUUUCAACAAGACUUUGAUUGACUUCGAAAUGGAAAAAUAUCGUUCACUUAGUCUCACGUAGAAACAAAUCGUUCAAUCAAAAGGCAAGGCAUACGUCUGCUCUUUACGUUUCAGACAAUGUUUUUCAAUUGCUAAUUGCAACAGGUGCGGCUGAGCCGGCGUUUAUUGAUCAACUGUGGUUGGUUAUAUGUAAAAUAGUGCCAUAUAUGUUUGUAAAAACAUAUGCAUUGGCACUAUCAAUACAAAUACAACAAAUUUUAGCCAAACUUUUUUAAAUAUAAAACUAAUGAAUUCAACGAUUACAGGGCAAAUCAUUUUUUUUUUUGCCAAAACUAUUUUGUAGAUGUCUAAGAAAACUCAAAACUGGAAAGACGAACCCUUAUGGGGACCUAAUGUCCGAUGAAAUAUUCAUAGCAAAGAACCGUUUCUCAAGAUAAAUUGAAAUAUUGAACAUUUGAUUUAAUGAUUUGAUUUAAUAAAAGCAUUUGUCGAA